RNAcentral lists this ribosomal RNA (243 nucleotides) under uncultured bacterium. Its description in RNAcentral is "partial 16S ribosomal RNA". It matches the Rfam family "Bacterial small subunit ribosomal RNA", at positions 100 to 334 of the family's 1533-position model. The record is from RNAcentral.
CCGGACGAACGGGUGCGUAACACGUGAGCAACCUACCUCUGGUGGUGGGGGAGUAGCCGGGCUAACGCCCGGGUAAUACCGCAUACGGUCAUCCGGGGGAGUCCCUGGGUGAAGAAACCUCCGGGGCACGGAGAGGGGCUCGCGGCCUAUCAGCUAGUUGGCGGGGUAAUGGCCCACCAAGGCAUCGACGGGUAGCUGGUCUGAGAGGAUGGCCAGCCACAUUGGGACUGAGAGACGGCCCAG